RNAcentral lists this ribosomal RNA (337 nucleotides) under uncultured bacterium. RNAcentral describes it as "bacterial SSU rRNA". It matches the Rfam family "Bacterial small subunit ribosomal RNA", at positions 365 to 719 of the family's 1533-position model. The record is from RNAcentral.
UGGUAAUCUGGGAAACCGGGAACCAGCAACGCCGCGUGCACGAUGAAGGCCUUCGGGUCGUAAAGUGCUUUUUGAAGGGAUGAGGAAGGACAGUACCUUCAGAAUAAGCCUCGGCUAACUACGUGCCAGCAGCCGCGGUAAAACGUAGGAGGCGAGCGUUAUCCGGAUUUACUGGGCGUAAAGCGUGUGUAGGCGGUUUGAUAAGUUGGAUGUGAAAGCUCCCGGCUCAACUGGGAGAGGUCGUUCAAAACUAUCAGACUAGAGGGUGGUAGAGGGAGGUGGAAUUCCGCGUGUAGUGGUGAAAUGCGUAGAUAUGCGGAGGAACACCAGUGGCGAA